CGGGACGGGUGAGUAACGCGUGGGUAACCUGCCUCAUACAGGGGGAUAGCAGCUGGAAACGGCUGGUAAUACCGCAUAAGCGCACAGUACCGCAUGGUACGGUGUGAAAAACUCCGGUGGUAUGAGAUGGACCCGCGUCUGAUUAGCUAGUUGGCGGGGUAACGGCUCACCAAGGCGACGAUCAGUAGCCGACCUGAGAGGGUGACCGGCCACAUUGGGACUGAGACACGGCCCAG
This 236-nucleotide ribosomal RNA is filed under the name uncultured bacterium. RNAcentral describes it as "partial 16S ribosomal RNA". It matches the Rfam family "Bacterial small subunit ribosomal RNA", at positions 100 to 334 of the family's 1533-position model. The record is from RNAcentral.